RNAcentral lists this ribosomal RNA (501 nucleotides) under uncultured Glomeromycotina. Its description in RNAcentral is "partial small subunit ribosomal RNA". It matches the Rfam family "Eukaryotic small subunit ribosomal RNA", at positions 591 to 1093 of the family's 1831-position model. The record is from RNAcentral. Lineage: Eukaryota; Fungi; Glomeromycota.
CCAAUAGCGUAUAUUAAAGUUGUUGCAGUUAAAAAGCUCGUAGUUGAAUUUCGGGAUCAGUACGCUGGUCGUGCCUUCGGUAUGUACUGGUGUCACUGAUUCCUCCCUUCUGACGAACCGUUAUGCCAUUUAUUUGGUGUGGCGGGGAAUCAGGACUGUUACUUUGAAAAAAUUAGAGUGUUUAAAACAGGCUCGCGCUUGGAUACAUUAGCAUGGAAUAAUGAAAUAGGACGUUUGAUUCUAUUUUGUUGGUUUCUAGGAUCGACGUAAUGAUUAAUAGGGAUAGUUGGGGGCAUUAGUAUUCAAUUGUCAGAGGUGAAAUUCUUGGAUUUAUUGAAGACUAACUACUGCGAAAGCAUUUGCCAAGGAUGUUUUCAUUAAUCAAGAACGAAAGUUAGGGGAUCGAAGACGAUCAGAUACCGUCGUAGUCUUAACCAUAAACUAUGCCGACUAGGGAUCGGAUGAUGUUAAUUUUUUAAUGACUCAUUCGGCGCCUUACGG